AGAGCGAACGCUGGCGGCAGGCCUAACACAUGCAAGUCGAACGGACCCUUCGGGGUUAGUGGCGGACGGGUGAGUAACACGUGGGAACGUGCCUUUAGGUUCGGAAUAGCUCCUGGAAACGGGUGGUAAUGCCGAAUGUGCCCUUCGGGGGAAAGAUUUAUCGCCUUUAGAGCGGCCCGCGUCUGAUUAGCUUGAUGGUGGGGUAAUGGCCCACCAAGGCUACGAUCAGUAGCUGGUCUGAGAGGAUGACCAGCCAUAUUGGGACUGAGACACGGCCCAAACUCCUACGGGAGGCAGCAGUGGGGAAUCUUGCGCAAUGGGCGAAAGCCUGACGCAGCCAUGCCGUGUGUAUGAUGAAGGUCUUAGGAUUGUAAAAUACUUUCACCGGUGAAGAUAAUGACUGUAGCCGGAGAAGAAGCCCCCGGCUAACUUCGCGCCAGCAGCCG
Molecule: ribosomal RNA, 446 nt
Filed under: uncultured soil bacterium
Lineage: Bacteria
Description: bacterial SSU rRNA
Rfam family: Bacterial small subunit ribosomal RNA
Source: RNAcentral